Molecule: ribosomal RNA, 1477 nt
Filed under: Euglena hiemalis
Lineage: Eukaryota; Euglenozoa; Euglenophyceae; Euglenales; Euglenaceae
Description: bacterial SSU rRNA
Rfam family: Bacterial small subunit ribosomal RNA
Source: RNAcentral
CGAGUUUGAUCCUUGCUCAGGAUGAACGCUGGCGGUAUGCUUAACACAUGCAAGUCAAACGAAUAAGAUGGAAACAUUGAAUUAGUGGCGGACGGGUGAGUAACAUGUAAGAAUCUACGCUUAGGUGAGGAGCAACAAAUGGAAACGUUUGCUAAUCCCUCAUAAUUGGCUAAUAAGUUAAAGAAAAUUUCGCCUAAGCACGAGCUUGCAUCUGAUUAGCUAGUUGGUGGGGUAAAGGCCUACCAAGGCAACGAUCAGUAGCUGAUUUGAGAAGAUGAUCAGCCACACUGGGAUUGAGAACGGAACAGACUUCUACGGAAGGCAGCAUCUGAGGACCAUAUUUCCGCAACUGGGCGAAAGCUUGACGGAGCAAUACCGCGUGGAGGAAGAAUGCCUUUGGGUUGUAAACUCCUUUUCUCAAAGAAGAAUAUAUGACGGUAUUUGAGGAAUAAGCAUCGGCUACGACUUCCGUGCCAGCAGCCGCGGUAAUACGGGAGAUGCAAGCGUUAUCCGGAAUUAUUGGGCGUAAAGGGUUUGUAGGUGGUCAAGUAUGUUUAAUGUUAAAUGUCAAAGCUUAACUUUGAAAUUGCAUUAAAAACGGCUAGACUUGAGUAUGUUAGGGGUAAAGGGAAUUUCCAGUGUAGCGGUGAAAUGCGUAGAUAUUGGAAAGAACACCAAAGGCGAAGGCACUUUACUAGGUCAAUACUGACACUGAGAAACGAAAGCUAAGGGAGCAAACAGGAUUAGAUACCCUGGUAGUCUUAGCCGUAAACGAUGGAUACUAGGUGGUGCUAAAACUGCACUGCUGUAGUUAACACGUUAAGUAUCCCGCCUGGGGAGUACGCUUGCAAAAGUGAAACUCAAAGGAAUUGACGGGGGCCCGCACAAGCGGUGGAGCAUGUGGUUUAAUUCGAUGCAACACGAAGAACCUUACCAGGGUUUGACAUGCUAGGAAAUAAUUUGAAAGAGUUAUGUGCCUUAGGGAACCUAGACACAGGUGGUGCAUGGCUGUCGUCAGCUCGUGUCGUGAGAUGUUGGGUUAAGUCCCGCAACGAGCGCAACCCUUGUUUUUAGUUAACGCGUGGUAUUUAAAAAGACUGCCGGUUAUAUGCCGGAGGAAGGUGAGGACGACGUCAAGUCAUCAUGCCCCUUAUACCCUGGGCUACACACGUGCUACAAUGGUUAAGACAACGAGAAGCAACCUUGUGAAAGGGAGCCAAUCUUCAAACUUAAUCUUAGUUCGGAUUGUAGGCUGCAACUCGCCUAUAUGAAGAAGGAAUCGCUAGUAAUCACCGGUCAGCUAUACGGUGGUGAAUACGUUCUCGGGCCUUGUACACACCGCCCGUCACACCAUGGAAGUCGGCUGUGCCCGAAGUUGUUAUCUUAACUGUAAAGAAGGAAAUACCUAAGGCCUGGCUGGUGACUGGGGUGAAGUCGUAACAAGGUAGCCGUACUGGAAGGUGUGGCUGGAACAACU